Long non-coding RNA from Symphalangus syndactylus (siamang), 375 nucleotides. RefSeq lists it as uncharacterized. NCBI's taxonomy places the organism in Eukaryota, Metazoa, Chordata, Mammalia, Primates, Hylobatidae. The record is from RefSeq and is a predicted model, not a curated record.
UGCUGGACUGGAGCUUCUUGUCACUUCAACCGGAAAAGGUCUACUUAGAAAACUCCAAAACUUUCUAGUGAGCGUCUCCUAUGUCUAAGUAAGAAGGAGUAUACCUCGCUUUCUUUUUCUGGAUGUUUUUCAACCCACAUUCUUGGGAGAUAGGCAGCAGACAAACCGAUGUGGAGGGAAAAUCCACUGCUGUCUAAGGAGCUGCCUUCCAUGGUGCUAAUGACAGCUUUGCAGUCUGUGCGCUGCGAAACAAAACACCAUGACAACAAGGCAUAAAUUCCUCCACAACCCUCCACCACUCCCCCUCCACUGCCGCCAAAAUGCUUCUUCAAAUCUUAUGCGUACAAACCUGAAGGUUUUCAUUCAAAGCCUUGU